AGAACGAACGCUGGCGGCAGGCCUAAUACAUGCAAGUCGAACGCACUCUUCGGAGUGAGUGGCAGACGGGUGAGUAACGCGUGGGAACCUUCCUUGUAGUACGGAAUAACUCCGGGAAACCGGUGCUAAUACCGUAUACGCCCUCCGGGGGAAAGAUUUAUCGCUACAAGAUGGGCCCGCGUUGGAUUAGCUAGUUGGUAGGGUAAUGGCCUACCAAGGCUACGAUCCAUAGCUGGUCUGAGAGGAUGAUCAGCCACACUGGGACUGAGACACGGCCCAGACUCCUACGGGAGGCAGCAGUAGGGAAUCUUGGACAAUGGGCGAAAGCCUGAUCCAGCCAUGCCGCGUGAGUGAAGAAGGCCUUGGGUUGUAAAGCACUUUUGUACCGGAAAGAAAGCACUCAAUUAAUACCUGGGUGUCCUGACGGUACCGGAAGAAUAAGCACCGGCUAACUUCGUGCCAGCAGCCGC
Molecule: ribosomal RNA, 470 nt
Filed under: uncultured bacterium
Lineage: Bacteria
Description: SSU rRNA
Rfam family: Bacterial small subunit ribosomal RNA
Source: RNAcentral